Long non-coding RNA from Oreochromis aureus, 214 nucleotides. RefSeq lists it as uncharacterized. NCBI's taxonomy places the organism in Eukaryota, Metazoa, Chordata, Actinopteri, Cichliformes, Cichlidae. The transcript is spliced from 3 exons. The record is from RefSeq and is a predicted model, not a curated record.
ACUCCCAAGUUAAAACUUUCCAUAUCACCAGGAAAGCCAGUCCCCCCAAAAGAAAAAUUGUUACAACGCAGACUUGCAUCAUGGCUGUUCAAGCACAAAGUCGAUGAUCAUAGCUGAUGGAAACAGCUUAACUGAGACGCUGAUUUGGGGCGUUGUAUGUGAAAACAGCAGCCAGGCACAGAUCAGCUCUAAUCACAGUCAACAUAAUGGUUUC